RNAcentral lists this long non-coding RNA (1056 nucleotides) under Notechis scutatus (mainland tiger snake). RNAcentral describes it as "lncRNA (ENSNSUG00000012887.1)". The record is from RNAcentral. Lineage: Eukaryota; Metazoa; Chordata; Lepidosauria; Squamata; Elapidae.
UCUUUAUUAUUUCAGAUACAUUGCACCAUAGCAAAGUUGCUGCUGUAAAGUUUCUGAAAAAAAAUGAAACUGAACAUUCAAGAACAGGGAAUCCAUUGGUAAAAUGGCUCCAGGAGGAUUCUGUUCAUCCCAAGCAACAGUUCCUUAAUAUGGGUGCAGGUGACAGACCUCAUCAACAUUUUAGAAACCAUGGAAAAGUUAUUCAAGGCAGACUGAAAGAAGCUGCAAAAAAGAUCUGCUAUCUGAGCAAAGAGAAACAGCAGCUGCUAGAGAUGGUAAAUAGACUAAGAACAGAACUUGGAGAAGGUUCAAAGAAAGGAUUUCAGGAUUGCAACGAUUCAAAAAACGCUCAAAAUGACACAUUCUCUGGUGCCCUUUAUCCCAAAGAACUUGUACAAGAAAGAAAGCAGCAUUUUCUAGCUUUAGAACAUUUGCAAUGCCAUCUUACAACACAGAUUGGAUCAGACUCAUGUACAAGAAACUACACUGCAGAUCCCUCAGUAUCUAAAGCCCCUGUGCUUCAGCAACCUCAACAAAUCAGAAGAGAAAGUCCAAGACUAUCCCAACAAAGUCUAUUAUCAUCUAGUGCGCCUAGUUCCUUGGAGGAAAUUUGGCAAAUGUUAGAGAUGGGAUCAAGUCCUUCAGUUCUCAGCCCCCAAAACAUUGAUCAAGAAAAAUGCCAGAUUAUCAAUGAACCAAAAAGACUUGAAGAGUCUCCAAGAAAAACACAAGUAGAUCCAUUGGCUGUCAAGGGGACAAAGUUUGAUGUCCAGUCAAGAUUAAAACCAAAGAAAUCACCUUACAUUCAAUCAAAAAAAAAACCAAAAUCUCAACGAAUAACUAAAAUUCGCAAUUACAAUAUAAAGGACUGAGAUUUCACUGAACUAUCAAAUUUUCUUUGUAAGGCAUGCUGAGAUUCUUUGCUUUUUAUUACAGUAUAAAAUAAUUUAAAUAUUCGUCUGUCAGCUGCAUUGAUAUUGCUAAUCUCGUAUUAUUGCAUAUUGAAAAUGCUCAUUUUUCUUUUUCUCCAUUGAAUAAAAUGUAAAAGUCUACUCA